GAGGGAUGGGGGGAAAGCCAGCGGGAGGACAGGUGAGACAGCAGGACAGGACCGGAGCAGGGCCCCAAGCCCCCGGGCCCGGCGGGGGACGCGCUUCUCUCCACACCCUGUGCUUCAGCAGUUCCGGCCGGCGGACCCAAAGGCGGAGAGG
Molecule: long non-coding RNA, 151 nt
Organism: Ailuropoda melanoleuca (giant panda)
Lineage: Eukaryota; Metazoa; Chordata; Mammalia; Carnivora; Ursidae
Exons: 2
Source: RefSeq, a predicted model, not a curated record